AGUGAACGCUGGCGGCAGGCCUAAUACAUGCAAGUCGAACGGCAGCACAGCAGAGCUUGCUCUGUGGGUGGCGAGUGGCGGACGGGUGAGGAAUACGUGGGAAUCUGCCCAGUCGUGGGGGAUAACGUAGGGAAACUUACGCUAAUACCGCAUGCGCCCUUCGGGGAAAGCCGGGGACCUUCGGGCCUGGCGCGAUUGGAUGAGCCCACGUCGGAUUAGCUAGUUGGCGGGGUAAAGGCCCACCAAGGCGACGAUCCGUAGCUGGUCUGAGAGGAUGAUCAGCCACACUGGAACUGAGACACGGUCCAGACUCCUACGGGAGGCAGCAGUAGGGAAUAUUGGACAAUGGGCGCAAAGCCUGAUCCAGCCAUGCCGCGUGAGUGAAGAAGGCCCUCGGGUUGUAAAGCUCUUUUGUUGGGGAAGAAAAGCAGUUGGUUAAUACCCGACUGUUCUGACGGUACCCAAAGAAUAAGCACCGGCUAACUUCGUGCCAGCAGCCGCGGUAAU
This 507-nucleotide ribosomal RNA is filed under the name uncultured bacterium. Its description in RNAcentral is "bacterial SSU rRNA". It matches the Rfam family "Bacterial small subunit ribosomal RNA", at positions 29 to 524 of the family's 1533-position model. The record is from RNAcentral.